CACGUAGGGGACGAGCGUUGUCCGGAUUCAUUGGACGUAAAGCGCGUGUCGGCGGUCCGGUAAGUCCGCUGUGAAAGUCGGGGGCUCAACCCUCGGAUGCCGGUGGAUACUGUCGGGCUUGAGUACGGAAGAGGCGAGUGGAAUUCCUGGUGUAGCGGUGAAAUGCGCAGAUAUCAGGAGGAACACCAAUUGCGAAGGCAGCUCGCUGGGACGUUACUGACGCUGAGACGCGAAAGCGUGGGGAGCAAACAGG
RNAcentral lists this ribosomal RNA (253 nucleotides) under uncultured bacterium. RNAcentral describes it as "partial 16S ribosomal RNA". It matches the Rfam family "Bacterial small subunit ribosomal RNA", at positions 524 to 776 of the family's 1533-position model. The record is from RNAcentral.